Molecule: ribosomal RNA, 234 nt
Filed under: Mycobacterium tuberculosis
Lineage: Bacteria; Bacillati; Actinomycetota; Actinomycetes; Mycobacteriales; Mycobacteriaceae
Description: partial 23S ribosomal RNA
Rfam family: Bacterial large subunit ribosomal RNA
Source: RNAcentral
UGGUAGGAGAGCGUUCUGUAAGCCUGUGAAGGUGCGUUGUAAAGCGUGCUGGAGGUAUCAGAAGUGCGAAUGCUGACAUGAGUAGCGUUAAAGGGGGUGAAAAGCCCCCUCGCCGUAAGCGCAAGGUUUUCUACGCAACGUUCAUCGGCGUAGAGUGAGUCGGCCCCUAAGGCGAGGCAGAGAUGCGUAGCUGAUGGGAAACAGGUCAAUAUUCCUGUACCGAUGUGUAGUGCG